Cavia porcellus (domestic guinea pig) is the source of this 107-nucleotide small nuclear RNA. The record is from Ensembl. NCBI's taxonomy places the organism in Eukaryota, Metazoa, Chordata, Mammalia, Rodentia, Caviidae.
GUGCUUGCUUUGGCAGCACAUAUACUAAAAUUGGAAUUAUACAGAGAAGAUUGCCAUGGCCCCUGAGCAAGGAUGACAUGCAAAUUCAUGAAGCAUUUCGUAUUUUU